Anser brachyrhynchus (Pink-footed goose) is the source of this 550-nucleotide long non-coding RNA. NCBI's taxonomy places the organism in Eukaryota, Metazoa, Chordata, Aves, Anseriformes, Anatidae. The record is from Ensembl.
GAGCAUGACCUGGUCCAGUUUCAGUUCUCGGCAACUGGCUCCCAACAUACAGUUCCCAAAGGCUGCCUGAAUCUUCCCCAGGCCUGGAAAAAUCCUCUCCUCAUGAUCAGUGGCUUCUGGUGAGAAAUCCCAAAGCAAGGAAAAAGCAUGAAAAGAGAACAGGAGUUGGUGCAGGCAGAGAGAAACAAGAAGAGGGCAGGUGGAGAAAGCAAGGCAGAAGAAGACAUGUCCAAAGUCAUAACUAGAAAGGAAAGAAGGUAUCAAGAAGAGCAAUUGCAAAUGGGAGGAGAGAUGGGAAGAAAAGAUAUAAUGAGAUCUUCUAUUGAAGAGAAUAUACGUGGUGACAUUCAGACCUAUGAAAGAAGUUGGGAACAAAUGACAACGUGUCUUCAGAAAUGCUCCUGGUGCUCUUUAGAUCACCUGGACCUGCUGUGGCUCAGCCUCACUGGCAGGGUGCCUCUGUCCCCAAAAAGAAAGAAGCUCCAGGCAGCCAGCCCAGCUGGUUCCCAUAGGUACUAGCAAAAUAAAUCCCUGGGAGAGAGAUCUAACA